AAUGUAAAUUGGUGCAGGCACUGUGGAAAACAGUAUGGAGGUGUCUCAUAAAGUUAAAAAUAGAAUUGCCCUAUGGUCCAAUAAUCACACUACUGGGGAUCUACCUUGGGAAUACAAAGACACUAACUCGAAGGGAUACAUGCACUCCUAUGUUUAUUGCAGCAUUUUUUACAAAAGCCAAGAUAUGGAAGCAGCCCAGAUGUCCAUCAAUAAUGGUCAUAUUUCCUUCCUGUCUAGAGUGCCCCCCAUUUUACAACCUAAAAAUUGGCUACUAUUUCCAUAAGCAAAGUAUCUCCCAAUUCAAUCCCGUUGUGAUACUCUUAAGAUUCCUUUUCUUCCUUCUUUUCUACUUAUGGUUCUCUCUGUCUGCAAUGUUCUAUUCUUAAACUUCCCCGUGACUUCUUCCCUAUGUCAAUUCAGAUAUCUACUCAUCAGAAGUCACCUAAUCACAAUGAACUUCCUGGAUCAACUUGAGAAAUGGCCUCCAAGGAUUGGCGGUGGAGGAAGUACCAACCUAAGUAACGCUGGAGUAGAGUGGAACUCACAUGAAGACCACAGGACUCCUUGGAAGCUACCAGAAGUGCAGCAUCUCUCAGAGCAGUACUUUUUGAUCCUGUUCAUCUCAGGAAACCAGCUCCGGCCUCUUGCCUUCAGACUUUUCAAAUUUAAAUAUAGACUUGGUUCACUUGAAGUUUAUUCCUAUUUUGCUUGAGUGAGAGAGAGAACACAAGCAGGGGGAGCAGCAGGCAGAGGGAAAGGGAGAAGCCGA
Long non-coding RNA from Canis lupus familiaris (dog), 769 nucleotides. RefSeq lists it as uncharacterized. The transcript has 3 exons. Lineage: Eukaryota; Metazoa; Chordata; Mammalia; Carnivora; Canidae. The record is from RefSeq and is a predicted model, not a curated record.